This is a long non-coding RNA of Aethalodelphis obliquidens (Pacific white-sided dolphin), 2023 nucleotides long. RefSeq lists it as uncharacterized. The record is from RefSeq and is a predicted model, not a curated record. The transcript has 5 exons. NCBI's taxonomy places the organism in Eukaryota, Metazoa, Chordata, Mammalia, Artiodactyla, Delphinidae.
ACUGGCCCAAGCAUCUUUACGCGAGCGUUUCGGAGCGACCGUUUAUAAGGCCCAAGUCCUCUGGGGCGGGCCCACUUUUCCUAAAGCGUACGUUCAUUGGCUGAACCCGCCUGACACUCAGCCCUGGGCCGGCGUCCUGUUGACCCUGACGGCGACCUCUCAGAAUCCUGGGAAGUUUGGCGUCUUCGAAGGCAGCGGAGCCGCGGCGCCUCAGAGGGUUCCCGAGGGCCGUGGAGCCUGCGAAGGCUACCUCCGCCGGCUGACGCCUCAGCCUUCGCCCCGCGCGCCGGUCUCGGGCUUCACGGAAAUGAAAACAAGCCAAGAGUAAAACAAAACCAGUACAAAUCCCCAAGUCAAAGCAGCUACAAUCAAAUUCAAGGAAAGCAAAGAUUGCCGGAGACUGUCCAUGAAAUCGUCUUCAUCCUUUGCGCUACUCUCUGACCUGCUCUAGUACAUGAAAGGUGUCAUGAAGCCUUUGUGCCCGGGCACUGCAGUUCCCUCUGGGUUCUGGCAUCGGGUUCUCCUCUACCUGUUCAGCAGCAUCAGACAAUCUCGCUGGCACCCGGGCCUGGCCUUGGCUAUAACGCUCUCAUCUGGCGUCUCUCCUCUCCCAGGGUUGGCUUCCUAAGCUCUGGUGUCAGAUCUGCAAAUCCUUCCGUGGGAGCACAUGGGACACUUAGGAUGAAGGAUGGUUAGGAAUGGCUUCUUCCUGAGCUUACAAAUAUCGCCUGACCCGUCCUGGCAACACCUGGCUUAUAAAGCAACUACAGUGGUCAUCUUCUUCCCAGAGGCUAUGGGUUAAAUCCAGGAUACCACAUUGCCUUCAGAGGUUUAUCAUUGUUUUAAAAUUCUUUAUAGAUCAUGCAACGCCUUCAUGCGUGCCCCCAGGGCUGACUGCUUCCACUGCCCUGACCUUAGUAUACCACUGAUUCCACUAAACCACUGUGGUAUCAGAGGCAAGAAUGUGAUAUGAUAUGCUGGACCGUCGGAGCACCAACACUACACUUUGUCAAGCUGGAGCUCCAUCAGCGAGACACUUCAACAGUGACUGGAGAACUUGCUGCUACCUGAGAGGUGUGCACAGGUGCUAUGUGACCCCUCCAGCCUAAGUGCCCUGAAGACAGCUUUGUGAAGGAAGAGGUACACACCCUUUAUCUUCAAGGAUAGUUACCUUUAUAGGCAAAGGGACAUAGCACAAGGGCCUUGUGAGAGGAACAAAGACACAGAGAUUGGAAACUGCAGGGUCUGUUCUGGAAAGAGGGGCUACUCCAAUCUAGUUAAGCACUGGUGUUUCAGAAUUAUCAGCUGCCAUGAUGGGACAGGUGGGGAGAGACAAAUGGUGCUCACUUGAUCAGUGCCAUGCUCUAGGAAGCCUGAAAGGCUCCAGUUUGGGUGGGCAGAGGGGACCCUGUGCUGGUCUCUAGUCUGAGUCCUGUUUCAGCUACCUGCUAAUUAUGUGGCCCUUUGUCUUUCAUGAGUCUCAGAACAGCUAUAAGAAGGGGCUGGUAAUCACUGUCUUUCCUCCCUCACAGGGUAACUGUAAAGCACAAUAUAAACAUGAAAGGUUAUUAUCUCCUCCACGUCCAGACCUAACUAUAGAUUCACCCAUCUUAGGUUGUUGCCCCAGCCUCAGAGGAGUGACCCUCAGGCCUCCUCCUUGGUUUCAUCCAUGAUCUCCCAUAUUUCUAGUAUUUUAAGUAUUUCCCUCUCUCUCUCCUGAGUGUUUUUUCUCUGUCUCCAAAUAUGCUCUGAUCUUAAAAAAUAAAGAUCCUUCCUUGGAUCUUCUGUAUCUCCUAAGACACUAUCCAUUUCCCUUGUUCUCACCAAACUUCUUAAAAGAAUAGACUAUUUUCUCACCUUUUCUCAUCUUCUACCCACUGUUAACUAUGCCUCCUCCAAUGUCCAAUUAAGAGUGGGCCCUCAGAACUCUCCUACAGUGUUGGUGGGAAUGUAAAUUGAUACAGCCACUGUGGAGAACAGUAUGGAGGUUCCUUAAAAAACUAGAAAUAGAGUUACCAUAUGA